This is a non-coding RNA of Pararhizobium polonicum, 68 nucleotides long. The record is from Rfam. NCBI's taxonomy places the organism in Bacteria, Pseudomonadati, Pseudomonadota, Alphaproteobacteria, Hyphomicrobiales, Rhizobiaceae.
CGUCAAGAGCUUUUGGCACCGUUUUGGUGAGCGGAUUUCUUUUGCCUUUUGAAAGGUAGAAGACAAUG